Molecule: ribosomal RNA, 540 nt
Filed under: Escherichia coli
Lineage: Bacteria; Pseudomonadati; Pseudomonadota; Gammaproteobacteria; Enterobacterales; Enterobacteriaceae
Description: bacterial SSU rRNA
Rfam family: Bacterial small subunit ribosomal RNA
Source: RNAcentral
UUAAAUUGAAGAGUUUGAUCAUGGCUCAGAUUGAACGCUGGCGGCAGGCCUAACACAUGCAAGUCGAACGGUAACAGGAAACAGCUUGCUGUUUCGCUGACGAGUGGCGGACGGGUGAGUAAUGUCUGGGAAACUGCCUGAUGGAGGGGGAUAACUACUGGAAACGGUAGCUAAUACCGCAUAACGUCGCAAGACCAAAGAGGGGGACCUUAGGGCCUCUUGCCAUCGGAUGUGCCCAGAUGGGAUUAGCUAGUAGGUGGGGUAAAGGCUCACCUAGGCGACGAUCCCUAGCUGGUCUGAGAGGAUGACCAGCCACACUGGAACUGAGACACGGUCCAGACUCCUACGGGAGGCAGCAGUGGGGAAUAUUGCACAAUGGGCGCAAGCCUGAUGCAGCCAUGCCGCGUGUAUGAAGAAGGCCUUCGGGUUGUAAAGUACUUUCAGCGGGGAGGAAGGGAGUAAAGUUAAUACCUUUGCUCAUUGACGUUACCCGCAGAAGAAGCACCGGCUAACUCCGUGCCAGCAGCCGCGGUAAUACGG